ACUCGAUUGCGCGAGUAUAAAAAGACGAUUAAGCGUAAAGCGUUACCCGGAUUGUUUGUCCGGGUAGGUUCAG
RNAcentral lists this ribozyme (73 nucleotides) under unclassified sequences. RNAcentral describes it as "pistol ribozyme". It matches the Rfam family "Pistol ribozyme". The record is from RNAcentral.